This 482-nucleotide ribosomal RNA is filed under the name uncultured bacterium. RNAcentral describes it as "SSU rRNA". It matches the Rfam family "Bacterial small subunit ribosomal RNA", at positions 26 to 523 of the family's 1533-position model. The record is from RNAcentral.
AGGACGAACGCUGGCGGCGUGCUUAACACAUGCAAGUCGAGCGAGGCCCUGUCUUCGGACAGGUGCCCUAGCGGCGAACGGGUGAGUAACACGUGGGCAACCUGCCCCUAGCACUGGGAUAACUCCGGGAAACCGGGGCUAAUACCAGAUAUGACCUCCGAGGGCAUCCUCGUUGGUGUAAAGGAUUCUGGCUAGGGAUGGGCCCGCGGCCUAUCAGCUUGUUGGUGGGGUAACGGCCUACCAAGGCGACGACGGGUAGCCGGCCUGAGAGGGCGACCGGCCACACUGGGACUGAGACACGGCCCAGACUCCUACGGGAGGCAGCAGUGGGGAAUAUUGCACAAUGGGCGAAAGCCUGAUGCAGCGACGCCGCGUGAGGGAUGACGGCCUUCGGGUUGUAAACCUCUUCAGCUCCGACGAAGCGAAGUGACGGUAGGAGCGAGAAGAAGCACCGGCCAACUACGCGCCAGCAGCCGCGGUAA